This 6999-nucleotide long non-coding RNA is filed under the name Mytilus galloprovincialis (Mediterranean mussel). The record is from RNAcentral. Lineage: Eukaryota; Metazoa; Mollusca; Bivalvia; Mytilida; Mytilidae.
GGCGAUUUCGAAAACGCAUUAUUAGAAAAUUUGCAUCAGUACACAGUUCUAGGGCUAAAUUGUGAGCAAACACAAAGUUUGCAAAGUAUUUUGGGGCACAAAGAUUGAAUGGUCAUCACGGUCAUGCUGCCAACGGGCUAUGGAAAGAGGUUACUUUACAGAUCCGGCUACCUGUUGUUGUCAGGGUCACAUGGUCAGAAGUCUGUAACUUUUAAGGAAGUUCAGCGGAUAAUUCAGUAAACAAAUCUCCUAUUGACUUUUGAAUAAGAUUUAUGCCUGAUGUAUCUAGGGGAAUUAGAAGCUUUCAUAUAUCAUUCAGUGGCGGAUCCAGAUUUUUUCUUAUAAAAGGGGGAUCGCCGCGAUAUAUAGCCUUUUUGGGAUACGAUUGCUUUUAGCAACUGUAGACUUUUACCGUUUGACUCAGGGCUCAUUCCCUCACGUCAACCGUUUUAUUCUAAACAUUCAGCAACAACUCAGAUUCUUAUGAUUGUCUUGCUUUAAAAGGUAAAAACAAGCAAAAGGAUUGAACAUAAACAUCUUUCCUGUAAUGUUCAUCUCAUAAUCUUCAUGUUUGAUUUUUCCCUUGACUUAUAUGCGUGUUUUUAACAACACGGAAAAUCAGAAUAAGCAGUAUUUAUAUUUAGUGUUUUUAUAAUUAGAACACGUCAGAGGGAAUUCCCCAGUUUGAUAAAUGCGAGAGUUCUUUGAAUUCCGAUAAUUCUAUUUCUGUCAUAUAAGAACUGAAGUCGGGAGUUUUCUAUAUUUUACCGUUAUGAAACUGAUACUGUACUCUAAUAAAGAAAUUGAGACUCAUUUAUCAUAUCAUAAAUUAAAUAAACGUUCUUGUUCCAAAUCGCAAGUCGCGGGUUUGUUUAUAUAUUAAUGCGCAUGUCAUUGUCAGUGUUGGUCAGGUCACAUUACAGCAAGCUUUUAAUAUUUUUUUCCCUAAAUUAUUCCUAUUUUUGUAAAAAUGGUUAAUCUAAUAUAUUCAAAUUUCAGAAAAAUAUUUUUUAGAAAUAAAAAGUAAUUAGCAAUUUCAUCUGGUCCUGUCAUUGUCGAGGUUGGUCCUGUCAGUCAGCGAUGGUCAUGUCACGUUUAAACUUUCUAUAUUGUUUAUAAUAUUAUUUUUCAAAAUAUGACAUAUUAUUUUAUAUUUCAAAUCUGAGAGAAUUCCUUUGAAAAAUAAAAAAAGUUAUUUGCAUUUUACUUUGGUCCUGUUAUUGUCGAUGUUGGUCAUGUCAUUAUCAGAGUUGGUCAUGUCACGUUUUCUAAAGUUUCUUACAAUUUUUAAUUUUUUUUCUUAAAUCUAUUUAUUAAAUGAUGAAAUCUUAUUAUAUAUCAAAUUUCAGAAAAAUAUUUUGAGAAAUAAAAGAGAAAUUAGCAAUUUCAUCUGGUCCAGUCAUUGUCAAGGUUGGUCCCGUCAAUCAGCGAUGUCAUGUCACGUUUCGAAAGUUUUUUGAAAAUAAAUCUAUAUUUUUUAUAACGUUUUGGUUUCAAAAUAUGACAUACCAUUUUAUAUUUCAAAUCUGAAAUAAUCCUUUGAAAAACAAAAAAGUUAUUAGCAUUUUUAUUUGGUCCUGUCAUUCUCGAUGUUGGUCCUGUCAUUAUCAAAGUUGGUCAUGUCAAAUUUUCUAAAGUUUCUUACAAAACUUUUUAAUUUUUUUCUUAAAUCUAUUUAUAAAAUGAUGAAAUCUUAUUAUAUUUCAAAUUUGAGAUCAAUCCUUUGAGAAAUGAGAAAGUUAUUAGCAUUUUUCAUUUGGUCCUGUCAUUCGGUCCUGUCAUUCGGUCCAGUCAUUAGUGUAACCCAUAGUUUUCUUGAUUUCAAGGGGUAUCAGAUUCAGUGGUUGUUCUGGAUUCCCCGCUUAUUAAUUAAUUUGAAACUCAUUGGAUUUUUUCUAUGUCUGCCUGCUAUUGAGGGUUUAAUAUUGUUGUUGCAUAAUUUAAAAUCAUAUGCAUCAUUUAAAUUAAAAUGAAUGAAGUUUUACCUAUAACACCCCUUUAGCCGAAAUGGAGUCUUCCAUAUUAUCGUAUCGAGUUGUCUCCCUUUCAGAAGUAUUUCCCGUCAAAAUCGUCCACAAAAAAAUCAACUCGUUAGAUGUCGAUAAACGUCGUAUUAUAUUAAGAACGAUCUCAAUUUAAACAGAGGAGUGUGUACGGAAGGAUAUUGGUACAAAGUGUUGAGGUGAACACAAAGAAAAAUAUUGCUUGACUCACGGCAAAGUUUGCUAUGUAUUCUUACCAAAUUAAAAUCGUUAAAAAUUGAUAAGAUACGAAGUGAAUAGUCCGAGAUUACUGGGUACAAGUCAAAUCGGCACCUGGUCAAAUCGACACCCAUAGAAAAAGUCAAAUCGGCACUUGGUUAAAUCGGCAUCUAAUAUAUAGGACUGGGAAAUGGGGUUCCUCCUAGAAUUAACGAUGAUAAGAUACGAAGUGAAUAGUCCCGAGUUUCCUGGGUACAAGUCAAAUCGGCACCUGGUUAAAUCGGCAUCUAGUCAAAUCGGCACCUACUUAAAAUUCAAUUCGGCAUCCAAUAAUACUUAAUAUAAUAUAUGGGACUGGGACUAUUUAAGUUUGAAAUUUAAGUAUACUAGCAUAAAAGUCCCCCACGGUCCCAGCUUGUCUGGCAAAUCAGCCGUCGCCUGACAUCAGAGUAAUCUCGAACUAUGAAGUGAAAUACCUUCUCCCUCUCUCUCUCAGUGACUGCUGUGGAAAGUAAACUUGGAAUUGAUAGCACACAAAUAAAACACAAUAAGUACAUUGCUCGUACACUUGUAUCCGGGAUUAGCUAUUUUUAAAGUUGAGUGACUAUUCAGAUUUAUAUUACCUUUGCAUGAGCAGUUGAAUUAGUUUUGAAAAUAAUACUAUCCAGCUGUACCAGGCCUUGCGGUCAUAAAACUUUCGAGUCAGUUUUUUUUGUACUCAUACUCGAAAAUCAACCAAUGUAUUCUUUAUUCGAGCAUUUUUGUGCUCCAAGCACUGAGCAAAGUUUUAUGGUCAAGUUUCAAGGCCAUAGUCCAAGUCGAAGUAAGGCGUCAAGAAAAAAAAAUAAAGUAGCCUUUCAAGACGUCAUAAUUAUUUGGACUAUCAAGGCCAGGGCUGCAAAAAAUUGUGAGACUCACGCAUGUUCAUGCUUUUUUGCAGCAGUAUCCUUGGAUCAAUUUUUUCCUCUUUGAUCUUUUCUAUUUUGGCCAAAUCUCACGAAUUUGCUUAAUGAAAAGUUGGCAGAACUGCUAUACAUAUGUCAAUGAAAACUAUAUGGCAAUCGUAUCCCUCAGAGCAUUCUGCUCUUUGAUUGUGUUAAUGUGGCGUAAAGCAACCAACAAUCAAUCAAUCUUAAAAAGGAUAAGGGCACUGACUGACCUGAAAGGCUCCAGUCAUCAGGUCAUGCUUCACUGAUUCCCUAUAUACAACCACAAAUUUCCCAUGAAAAAGGAGGGCAGGGGGAUACACCCAUGUCAUUCAUAAAAGAAAAAAUGUAGCCCUUUAUUUUUCAACAAUUAAAACAUAUGAUAGGAUCUUGUCUAUUUUUACUCUAGUUUUGAUCCAUUUAUCAAAAAAUAAUUAUUAUAAAAUUAUAUCAAUCAGAAAGGUAGAUUGAUUAACAAAUAUGAUUUUAUGCUAAAUGGUGUAAAACUAGAGUGUGUUAAUACAUAUAAAUAUUUGGGUAUAUAUUUUUGUGCAUCUGGCUCCUUUACAGUAGCCCAGGAUGAAUUGUAUAAAAAGGCACUAAAAGCCUAUUUUAAGUUAUAUAAAGAUUUUUUUAUCCUUGCAUCCUUCAGUCAAAACAUGAAUGUUUUUGAUCAUACCAUCAAACCAAUCUUACUAUACAGCUGUGAGAUAUGGGGUGCCUUCAAUCCUAUGUCGUCUAAAUAUAGAAAUGGAAUUUUUUCAUUUGACCAUAUUUAUUCUAUAUUACCUGCUGAAAAACUUCAUACUAAAUUCUGUAAAUUUAUACUUGGAGCUCCAAAAAAAAAGCACCAAUUUUGCUGUAUUGACUGAGUUGGUAAGACUACCAAUAUAUUUUAACAUGAUUAAAGCAAUGACUAAAUACUAUUACAGACUAGAAAAGUCAGACACUAACUUUCCAUUGUUAUAUAAUGCAUUUAUAGAAUCAAAGAAAUUGUAUGAGUCAAAGAAACCAUCGUGGUAUAUGUCAUCUGAAAAACUUCUUUCAUGAUUAAUAAUUAUCAAAUAUCCUCAGAACGGCUAAACCAAUUGACAACAGAAAACUUAGAAUUGCCAUGGUUAAAAGAUUUGGAAAAAAUCUCAAAACUCACUCAGAAGGAAAACUUGCACAUAUGUUACCUUUAAAGCAAAAUUUUGGUUGUGAAAAAUACUCUAAUAUUGUUAAAAAAAUUGAAGAUAGACGGAGUCUAACAAGAUUUCGCAUAUCUGCUCACCAUUUACUUAUAGAAGAGAGGUAAAUAUAGUAAUACUCCCCGACACAAUAGAAUAUGUAAGAGAUGUUGUAGUAAUGAGGUCGAAGAUGAAACACAUUUUCUUUUAACUGUGAUAGUUUAAUCAAUCAAAAGGAAAGACAUGAUAACAAGAUAAAUAAUUGCUGCAAGAAUUUUCAAAAUCUUGACCCUAACCAAAAACUGAUAUGGUUAAUGAAUAAUGAAGAUGAGAAUUUAUUAUCAGAAUUAUGCAUGUUCAGUAGAAAUAUGAAGUUUUAAUGGGAUUUAUCUCCCUACUACUUGUAAUUUGAACUUUAUUUUUCCCAUAGUGAGUUCUAGAGCACCGUCCCUUGCAUGAAUAUUGUCCAGUAGCAAUGUCAACCCUUGCUGCUGUGCAUUAGUCAUGAGGAGAAUCACUAUUGGAGUAAUCUCAUGUAUCUGUAGCUAGUUCUGAAGGAUCUCCCCUUGAUGACCUUUGCAUUGUUUGUGAUGUAAAAGCCCUCACUACUGUGCACUGGUCAUGAGGAGAACUACUAUACUGCAGUUUGAGAUACUAUAUUCCGGUUCUAUUUUUACUAUUUUUUAGUUCCAUAUUUUUAAAAUAAACUUAAUAUCAUAUAUCCUUUUAAUAUUAAAUCGGCCUCGUUACAACUCAAUGUCUCUUACCAUAAUUAUAUCCUACAUUGCUCAUAUUAUCAAUUUAUUAGGGCCCGCCAAGGCGGGUCGCCCUAUAGUAUCAGUCUGUCCGUCCGUCUUCCGUCCGUCCGUCGCCGUCCGUAACUUUGUGUCCGCUCAUAUCUAAGAGAACCAUUAUGAUUAUACUUUAUACUUUACAUGUUUUAACCACCACCAAAGGGCGUGUCAUGAUGUAUGUACAACUUCCUAGGUCAAAGGUCAAGUAAAAAAAUUUGGUUUCAGUUGACAACCCUGUGUCCUGUGGUUGAAAUCGUGCCGCUCUAUAUCUUGAGAACCGUUAUGAUUUCAAAUUAUACUUGACAUGUAUAUGAACGAACACCAGAGGGUGUAUCAUAAUUUAUAAACGACUGCCUAGGGCAAAGUUCAAGGUCAAAAACUUUGGUUUCAGUUACAACCCCAUGUCCUGGCGUGAGAGCGUGUCCGCUUUAUAUCUUGAGAACCUUUGAUUUCAAAGUUUAUACUUACAUAUAUGAAACACCCAAAGGGGUGUCAUAAUUAUGACGACUGCCUAGGGCAAAGUUCAAGGUCAAAAACUUUGGUUUCAGUUGACAACCCUGUGUCCUUGGUGAAGAUCGGUCCGCUCUAUAUCUGAGAACCUUAGAUUUCAAAGUUUAUACUUACAUGUUUUAAACCAACACCAAAGGUGUGUCAUAAUUAUUACAACUUCCUAGUCAAAGGUCAGGUCAAAAAUUGAUUCCAGUGACAAACCCAGUCCUAUGGUAAAAGAUACAAUUUUUUAAUGCACAUUAUUUACAGCGGGGCCCACAGAGAUGGCUCCCAUGUCAAUGAUAUCUAGUUAUUUGUGUAUUACUUAUUGUGUAUUUCACUAAUGUUUAUAUAAUCAUUGUAUUAUGAUGUUUUUGUAUCUUGUCUGACAAGGGCCCAUGAUUGGUAAAAUAAAAUAAUGUCUAAUAAUGUCUAAUGUCUAAUGUACUGGACUACAUUAUUGUCGAGCCCUCGACUUUAGUCAAAAAAGCGAGACUACAUUCAGUUGUGGCUGUGUUUUUUGGCGGCAGAGGCGUCCACAAAUAUUCACUCUGUGGUUAAAGUUUUGAAAUUUUAUUAACUUUCUUAAGCUAUAAUGGAUUUCUACCAAACUUGGAUAGAAGCUUGUUGAUCAUAAGAUAGUAUCCAGAAGUAAAUUUGGUAAAAAUAUAGUCCAUUUUUCCAUAUUUUACUUUUAAAUGGACUAAGUAUUUCUUCCAGUUAACAUUACAUACAUGUACAGUCAUGACAGUCUUUAGUUAAAGUUUUUUAAAACAUUUAUAAGAUUCAUUAACUAUCCUUCAUUUUUACCAAACUUGGACAGAAGCUUCUUACAAUCAAAAGAUUUUAUCAAGAGGAAUAUUUUUAUUGAUUUUUUCCCUCAUUCUUGGUGAGUCUGCAAUUUAUAGCAAAAGUAGGCGAGACACUGGGUUCCAUAAAACCCUUACAAACUUUUUUGUACUGAAGCCUCUCCUCAUAAGGGGCGUUCCCUGAUGACUUAUAUUUAUUCACUGAAUUUAUCCCUGAUCGAACUAGCUAUACUACAUGUAUAGGGGAUCUAGAGCUAUUCAUUAGGGGCCUGCUGACUGAACUAUUGGGGUUGGGGCUCAAGUCAUGCUUCAGUGAUUCCCUACAUAAUCAACCAAAUUUUUCUCAUUAAAAAGGGGGGCAGCCUAUGUGGUACAGACACUAGGACAAAUGCUACAUUUGUAGUUUGUGGUACAUUAGUAUCUUUGGUUGAAGUCCAAGUUUCCAAAUUCCAGUCUGUACCUACAUAAAUGAUUAAGUUGCCAUUCAAAGGUAGAUUCUCUUAAAAUUUAAAUGUAGAGUAAGGUUGACAUUUUAUAAUUUUAGGAAGGAAACAAGAUGUUUCAGCCAUGCAGCCAGUUGAGCCUUGGUCGUUUCCACCAUGUACCACCUC